AACGAACGCUGGCGGCAUGCCUAACACAUGCAAGUCGAACGAGACCUUCGGGUCUAGUGGCGCACGGGUGCGUAACGCGUGGGAACCUGCCGUUAGGUUCGGAAUAACUCAGAGAAAUUUGAGCUAAUAUCGGCUGAUGUCUUCUGACCAAAGAUUUAUCACCUUUAGAUGGGCCCGCGUUGGAUUAGCUAGUUGGUGGGGUAAAGGCCUACCAAGGCGAGGGUCCAUAGCUGGUCUGAGAGGAUGAUCAGCCACACUGGGACUGAGACACGGCGCAGACUCCUACGCGAGGGAGCAGUGGGGAAUAUUGGACAAUGGGGGAAAGGAUGAUCCAGCAAUGGCGCGUGAGUGAUGAAGGCCUGAGGGUAGUAAAGCUCUUUUACCCGAGAUGAUAAUGACAGUACCGGGAGAAUAAGCACCGGCUAACUCCGUG
Molecule: ribosomal RNA, 433 nt
Filed under: uncultured bacterium
Lineage: Bacteria
Description: partial 16S ribosomal RNA
Rfam family: Bacterial small subunit ribosomal RNA
Source: RNAcentral